GCGCCGAUGGCGGAAUUGGUAGACGCGCCAGGUUGAGGGCCUGGUCCCCGAUAAGGGGGUGGAGGUUCGAGUCCUCUUCGGCGCAUCA
RNAcentral lists this transfer RNA (88 nucleotides) under uncultured Solirubrobacteraceae bacterium. Its description in RNAcentral is "tRNA-Leu-GAG". It matches the Rfam family "tRNA". From Rfam's summary of the family: Transfer RNA (tRNA) molecules are approximately 80 nucleotides in length. The record is from RNAcentral. Lineage: Bacteria; Bacillati; Actinomycetota; Thermoleophilia; Solirubrobacterales; Solirubrobacteraceae.